GUCUAGGGGUGCGGGGGCGCGAGGGGAGGUGGCAGGGCGCCGCGCCGGAAGUGCCCGGAACGGCAGAGGAAGCGCAGCGGCGCGCAGAGCAGGCCAAGCCGGCGGCGAGGCCGCUUGCUCCUCGGUACGGACAGGCUGCAGGGAGCAGGCGGCGGCAUCGGCCUCUGGCCCUCCUCCGAGGCACAGCGCGGCCCCAACGGGCGUUGAUUCCCCGGGAAGGACCCCGUUGGGAGAAGAAAGUGAGGAGGCCGUGCGAAGGCCCUGAGCUUAGAGGCCUUGGGGCCUUGUUUGCGUCACAGCAUCCACAUGGCCUCGGGAGUGGGCGCUGCCUUCGAGGAGCUGCCUCACGACGGCACGUGUGACGAGUGCGAGCCCGACGAGGCUCCGGGGGCCCAGGAAGUGUGCCGAGAAUGCGGCUUCUGCUACUGCCACCGCCAUGCCGAGGCGCACAGGCAGAAGUUCCUCAGUCACCACCUGGCAGAAUACAUCCAUGGCGCUGGGGCCUGGACCUCAGGAGCCAAGAGAGAGGGCGAGGGGCAAGAUAAAGGUGAAGCCAAGGUAGAGAAUGAGACAGAGAUAGAUAGCGAAGCUGGGGAAGAGAAUGAGUCCGAGGAAGAGAGUGAAUCAGAAGAGAGCGAGACGGAGGAAGAGAGUGAGGAUGAGAGUGAUGAAGACAGUGAAGAAGAUAGCGAGGAAGAAAUGGAGGAUGAGCAAGAAAGUGAGGCAGAGGAAGACAACCAGGAAGAAGGAGAAUCUGAGGCUGAGGGAGAAACUGAAGCAGAGAGUGAAUUCGACCCAGAAAUAGAAAUGGAAGCAGAGAGAGUGGCUAAGAGAAAGUGUCCAGACCAUGGGCUAGAUUUGAGCACCUAUUGUCAGGAAGAUAGGCAGCUCAUCUGUGUCCUGUGUCCGGUCAUUGGGGCUCAUCAGGGCCACCAACUCUCCACCCUAGACGAAGCGUUCGAAGAACUAAGAAGCAAAGACUCAGGCGGACUGAAGGCAGCUAUGAUAGAGUUGGUGGAAAGGUUAAAAUUCAAGAGCUCAGAUCCUAAAGUAACUCGGGACCAGAUGAAGGUGUUCAUACAGCAGGAAUUUAAGAAAGUUCAGAAAGUGAUUGCUGAUGAGGAACAGAAGGCCCUUCAUCUAGUGGACAUCCAGGAAGCAAUGGCCACGGCUCAUGUGACUGAAAUAUUGGCAGACAUCCAAUCCCAUAUGGAUAGGUUGAUGACUCAGAUGGCCCAAGCCAAGGAACAACUUGAUACCUCUAAUGAAUCAGCUGAGCCAAAGGCAGAGUUAAAAGCAAAUUGCAUCUUCUGGUUCUGAACAAGAUGGCGCAAACACAUUCCAUUUUAUUCCUCUUGCUGAUUAUAAAAAUCCCUGGACAAAAUAUAUUAAGUCACCUACCAGAAGAUUCUGAAAGGUGUAAAAAAGAUGGCACAUUGGCUUGGAACCUUGGGAUUUGAGGAACUACACGAUAGGUGAUGAGGAAGGACCCAGACUCACUUGCCCUGUCUGCUCUGUUUGAGCCUUCAGAGAAGGGAAGGAAUGCUGCAAGGAAAGCCCAGGGGGAAUAAACUGUGCCAUCAGGGCUGUGGCAGAAGAGCACCUGGAGAAACGUGGGCAGUGCUCUUUUCCAUGGUCUUGGCAAGUGGCAGCUUGCAGAGAGAGGUGCUUUCACGACAGUGGCUGCCCUCACAGCUUCAGACUCAUGUACCUUGGACACAGUGAGAUUGGGGAACGGCUGCCUCUCUCAGCCAGGGGUGGUGCAGGCUGCUGUUUGGAAGAGCAGGGUGUGAAAUCACAUUUAUCGUCCUGAGACAUUUCCCAAAAUAAAAAGACUUUUUGUGCUGACUCCUGCUUUUCCAACUGUGGCCUGUUUCCUCUUCUUUUAAAACAAUCUUUUCUACACAGCUGUUCUCUUCCUCCCCAGCUUUGAGUGAUAGGGCUGACAUCUUGGGAGAAAGAAAAUGAUCUCUUUCUUCAAAGGUUAUGUCUCUGUCACACCCAGAAGUUGCUUAAACUUCAGUCUUUGCCUCUGGAGGUUUGAGGCAAGGUGAGGAGUGCCCAAGCCAGACUUCUGACUCCCUGUGGACUGAAAGAAAGAAGGGUCAGCUCUUAGCCCUGAAUGAGCCAGAAUCAGUCAGUGAAUGAGUUUUUUACUGAGUCUCAACCAAGUGCUUAGACUUGUGGUGGGAUGGAAUCUUUGCCCUCUUAAGUUGCUUAUAACCAAGGGUAAGUGAUGGAGGAUAGUCAAGAUUAUCAUAUACAACAUAAUCAGACAAUAAUGAGAUAAUAACGUAAUUAAGAUCCAAAUUUUUUUUUUUAACUCUAGAAGUUGUAGGAGUUUUCAGAAUCAGUGCAAUGCAGUGGUUAAGGAAUAUGGCUUUGGGGUCAAAGGUUCUGGAUUUGAAUUCCAGCUUUACCACCUACUAGCUAUGUAAUCUUAGGCCUGCUAUUUAAACUCUCUAGGCCUUGGUUUUCUCAUCUCUAAAAUGGGGGUAAUAAUAGUGUCUAAAAUAAGGAUGAAAUGAGAUGAUUUAUUCAUUCAGUAAAAACAUCUGUCAAGUGCCUUGUUUAUGAGAGAGACUGUUCUAAGUGCUUGGGGUAUGCAAAUGACCCUGACAUUGCAGUGGCUUACAGUAAAUGUUUGUUUCUCUCACAUACUACAUGUUCAUUAUGGAUUGGCUUUAGCUCUGCUCCCUUCCCGCUCAUUCUAAGACCAAGGGUAAAAGAGCAACCUCUAUGACGGACAUACUGGCAGAGGGAAAAGAAGAAUGGCAAACCAUGCAACGCAUUCCAGUAGAGCAGGGGAUCACUGUUGGAGCAGAGUGAGGAGUGAUUUCAGACAGGGAGAUGACUCCUGGUGGCCCACUAGAUGAGAAGACUGUUGCAGUGAUUCAGAUGAAAGAUUUUGAAGUUCUGGACUUGGAGGAAACAUAGAUAGGAGACAUGGAGAGGACUUAGGGUGUGCUUUAUCUGCUGGAUGAGAAGGAUGGAACUAAAUCAAGAGCCCUGGCUUCCAAGCCUAGCUCUGCCACUACUCAGCUAUGAAAACUCAGACAAGUCACUGAAUAUCUCUGGGCUUGUGUUGGAACCUUUGUAAAAUGAAAGGCCUGAGUUUGAUGCGGGCCGUAAGGUUCUUUCCACCUCUACCCCUCUAUGGCUCUAAGACUCCAAGAUCUUUGUCGUGGGAGAAAAAGCACAGAUGGGGGGUGGUGCUAUUGGGAGGCAAGGUUGAUUUGGAGAGAAAGAUGUUAUACCAACUCCUGUUCUGCAUUUAUCUCAGCCCAAUGGUCUUUGCUCUUUGCCUUUUUUCAUAGCCCUCACUUUCUCCUUGGCUCUGUUUUGAAUCCAAAAAGGAGAUAGAAUUUAUCAUUCAUCUCCAAAGUGGGGUGGUUGGGAACACAUGGGACCUCAAGGUCAUGGGGCUAAUAUAGCUUCUGCACAAUUUUUUUCCAGUAUGUUUUCUUAUCCUGGCAUUUUUAUAUGCUUCUUUCAGCAUAUUUGCAUAAUGAUAAUAUCUUCACAAAUGUGAGCCUAAGGAGUCUGUUUGGGGAGAAACCCUUUUCUCCUACCCCUGCAUUUCCACAGAAUCAUAAACUUCUGCCAGCUCUUCCUCCUCCUCAAGAGCAUGCUUCUGCCUCUCUUUCUACUCCUUUCUUACUUCUUCCAAUGGAAGAGGAGAAACUGUCUGGCAAGAGUCUGGUAGUCAUUUGGCUUCUCUUCUCUGUUGUGCACAAUUAAUGUGUUAACAAUCACUGCACUGAAAAGACAGCACAGCUGCAUCUUUCUUCUCUUUUGCUUUCUUGGAUCACCUGACCUCAGGGAGGGUGAGACUUCCUUGCUCUUGUGGUCUUCAUUGCAUUAAGCAGACUGGGAAGGAGUUGCCUCUGAUGGGCCCAGACAGGUGUUUGUUCCAACUUUUCCAUCAGUGACUAGAUAAGUAAAUCAGGUCAUUCCUUUUCUAGGAUUCAGAUUAAUUUAGUGGAGGAGGUGGCAGGAGGCACCUACUUUAGCCUCAGAUGCCAGUUUAUCUUUGUCAGCACUGCACUUCGUUACUUGGGUCUCCAUUAACAGAAGUAGUGCCUUGAUCACGGUUUAGCUCCAUAAAUACCUAAUCUCCCUGUUUGAAACUAGAUAAGACAGUGAAUAAAUGACACCACAACCUUCAGCAGAAUCCUUUCAACAUCAUAUCAUAGUUACAAUGGCUUUCUAUCCCCCUUCUUCAGCUUUGCCAGCAGGAAAGUGCAGUUAUCAAAGAGGAGACUAUUAUUUGCCAUGCCGCAUAGGAUGUAGUUUACAAAAGUUGAGUUGCCAUCAACCAGUGUCUGGCUUGACACAUAAACCAUAUUUCCAGAAGACUCAGUCCAGCUCUGUAUCAUGGCAUUUUAGCCACUUCUGCUAAAAUGCUGGGUUUGAUACUUUUCUCAAAUGGCUAUUUUAGUUAAAUGAUUACUUUCACUUUUUGGUACUAAAUUUAUUGUACAGUAUGAGCUCCCCAAAGAUGAGAGUUGUACCUAAUAGUUUUUGUUUUUUUUUAACCUCCAUCCUCAUCCCAUAUCCCACAGUGUUUUGGACUAUAACUUUUUAACUGGCAGGUACCUAAUAAAUUCCUACAUGAUACCAAAAGAUAGUGGUACUUCUUUGUUUUGUUUUUUACUAAAAUUGACAAGCUAACUCAGUUGAAAUGGUGAACCAAUUUGUGAACAUGGAUGCAACCCCAGUUGACUCGUUUGAGAAAAAAAAUUUAAUCUUAAUCAUUGUUUCCAGGACCUCUCCCAUGAAACAGAGCUAAUGGGUAUUAAUUUAUUCCACAGCAUGUGUGCCAGACACUGUAUGAGGCACGACACAGAUAAAGAAUAAACUAUGGGCCCUGCUCUUAAGGCACUCGUAGUUCAGUUGAGAAAUGAAACUCAUGAGCAAAGAAUUAUAAUAUACCAGUAGGAGAACUCACAGAGAGAAAUGUAUUAAGUACUAUAGAAGGCAGAGUAAAAAGUGACUAAUUCUUAGGGAACCAGGGAAAGUUUCACAGACGUUGACCCAUUCAGACCAGUUGCCUGAACAGAGCUGUACAACAGUAAGAUGACUGGUGACAGCAUGGAGAAUAGACAUCAUAAUAGUAAGCUCUGAUAGGUA
RNA transcript from Trichechus manatus latirostris (Florida manatee), 5133 nucleotides. It is a transcript of the gene named tripartite motif containing 44, with no coding region annotated. The transcript is spliced from 6 exons. Lineage: Eukaryota; Metazoa; Chordata; Mammalia; Sirenia; Trichechidae. The record is from RefSeq and is a predicted model, not a curated record.